RNAcentral lists this ribosomal RNA (253 nucleotides) under uncultured bacterium. RNAcentral's name for it is "partial 16S ribosomal RNA". It matches the Rfam family "Bacterial small subunit ribosomal RNA", at positions 524 to 776 of the family's 1533-position model. The record is from RNAcentral.
UACAGAGGCCUCGAGCGUUAGGCGGAAUCACUGGGCUUAAAGCGUGUGUAGGCGGACUUCUAAGUACCUUGUGAAAUCCCACGGCUUACCCGUGGAACGGCUGGGUAUACUGGUUGUCUUGAGCCACUUAGGGGCUACCGGAACAAAUGGUGGAGCGGUGAAAUGCGUAGAUAUCAUUUGGAACGCCAAUGGUGAAGGCAGGUAGCUGGGAGUGUGCUGACGCUGAGACACGAAAGCCAGGGGAGCGAACGGG